CAGGAUGAACGCUGGCGGCGUGCUAAUACAUGCAAGUCGAGCGAACAGAUAAGGAGCUUGCUCCUUUGACGUUAGCGGCGGACGGGUGAGUAACACGUGGGUAACCUACCUAUAAGACUGGGAUAACUUCGGGAAACCGGAGCUAAUACCGGAUAACAUUUGGAACCGCAUGGUUCUAAAGUGAAAGAUGGUUUUGCUAUCACUUAUAGAUGGACCCGCGCCGUAUUAGCUAGUUGGUAAGGUAACGGCUUACCAAGGCGACGAUACGUAGCCGACCUGAGAGGGUGAUCGGCCACACUGGAACUGAGACACGGUCCAGACUCCUACGGGAGGCAGCAGUAGGGAAUCUUCCGCAAUGGGCGAAAGCCUGACGGAGCAACGCCGCGUGAGUGAUGAAGGGUUUCGGCUCGUAAAACUCUGUUAUUAGGGAAGAACCAAAUGUGUAAGUAACUGUGCACAUCUUGACGGUACCUAAUCAGAAAGCCACGGCUAACUACGUGCCAGCAGCCGCGGUAAUACGUAGGUGGCAAGCGUUAUCCGGGAAUUAUUGGGCGUAAAGCGCGCGUAGGCGGUUUCUUAAGUCUGAUGUGAAAGCCCACGGCUCAACCGUGGAGGGUCAUUGGAAACUGGGAAACUUGAGUGCAGAAGAGGAAAGUGGAAUUCCAUGUGUAGCGGUGAAAUGCGCAGAGAUAUGGAGGAACACCAGUGGCGAAGGCGACUUUUCUGGUCUGUAACUGACGCUGAUGUGCGAAAGCGUGGGGAUCAAACAGGAUUAGAUACCCUGGUAGUCCACGCCGUAAACGAUGAGUGCUAAGUGUUAGGGGGUUUCCGCCCCUUAGUGCUGCAGCUAACGCAUUAAGCACUCCGCCUGGGGAGUACGACCGCAAGGUUGAAACUCAAAGGAAUUGACGGGGACCCGCACAAGCGGUGGAGCAUGUGGUUUAAUUCGAAGCAACGCGAAGAACCUUACCAAAUCUUGACAUCCUUUGAAAACUCUAGAGAUAGAGCCUUCCCCUUCGGGGGACAAAGUGACAGGUGGUGCAUGGUUGUCGUCAGCUCGUGUCGUGAGAUGUUGGGUUAAGUCCCGCAACGAGCGCAACCCUUAAGCUUAGUUGCCAUCAUUAAGUUGGGCACUCUAGGUUGACUGCCGGUGACAAACCGGAGGAAGGUGGGGAUGACGUCAAAUCAUCAUGCCCCUUAUGAUUUGGGCUACACACGUGCUACAAUGGACAAUACAAAGGGCAGCUAAACCGCGAGGUCAUGCAAAUCCCAUAAAGUUGUUCUCAGUUCGGAUUGUAGUCUGCAACUCGACUACAUGAAGCUGGAAUCGCUAGUAAUCGUAGAUCAGCAUGCUACGGUGAAUACGUUCCCGGGUCUUGUACACACCGCCCGUCACACCACGAGAGUUUGUAACACCCGAAGCCGGUGGAGUAACC
Molecule: ribosomal RNA, 1436 nt
Filed under: Staphylococcus xylosus
Lineage: Bacteria; Bacillati; Bacillota; Bacilli; Caryophanales; Staphylococcaceae
Description: bacterial SSU rRNA
Rfam family: Bacterial small subunit ribosomal RNA
Source: RNAcentral